Long non-coding RNA from Neofelis nebulosa (Clouded leopard), 919 nucleotides. RefSeq lists it as uncharacterized. The record is from RefSeq and is a predicted model, not a curated record. The transcript has 3 exons. Lineage: Eukaryota; Metazoa; Chordata; Mammalia; Carnivora; Felidae.
UGCGCGCUGGGGGGUUUCCUAACUGGGGAGCGGGUGGGACUCGUCCGCGGCAGAACAGCCUCCAGAUGGGAACACGCCUCACCGCAAGCAUCUGUCAGCAGUCAUUACCAGGUGGCAGAUGGAUGGGGAAACAGUAGGAAGUAUCUGGAUCAUGGCCAUCAGCUACCUUCAAUCAUCUUUAGAUUCUUGUUCCAAUUCAUUAAACUGCGGUGCCUCCGACUCGAGUCAUACAGCGAGAUGCAGCCAAGAGGAUCAGAGUCCAUUUAUCCUGAAACUUGGCCGUUCCUGAGCUGGAAACUUCCACACCGCACCGUUUCUUAGGGCAGCCAGCAAGUCCUUAGGGAAACUAUGCAGAAGGAAUACAGUUUUCAUUUUCUUUCGGAAACCAGGAGGGGCGUGUCUAAUGUCAAUGCUGCAAAACUGUGGAGCUGGGAGUCCUUCAAUGGCGAUUUUUGAUUUUUGAAUCCAGCGUCAGCAGCCACGUGACUCGGGAUGAGGCUCUGAGACGUUACUUGUAGAGACUAUAUAAGUAAGGAUAUCAAUUGCUUAGCAUACAGGAGGGGUCAGUAACUGCUUUUUAGCAGGGAAGGCGGGGAACCGACAGGGGAGAAGAGGAAGUCAGAUCAUCAACAUGGAGGUUUCGCUGCUUAAGGCUCUACAGCCCUUGAGUCAUUUCUAUGUCAGCCGUUCUCAAAGGGUGACCUUUGGAAGCCGUUGCAUUUUUGGUUGUUGCAACGACCAGAGCUUUCUGAUACGUAGCGCACAGGAGGCAUCCUGCAGGGUGAGAUUCUCAACGGGAAUUGCUUCAUAUGACAAAAUACAUCCUGCCGGACAUUCACAGGGGUGGAAAAACCUAUUUAUGGUUAUCUGAGCCUAGGCUGUAACUUGACUUUAUGUGUAAAACACAGGCUCGUUGGUU